Molecule: long non-coding RNA, 2190 nt
Organism: Juglans regia (Persian walnut)
Lineage: Eukaryota; Viridiplantae; Streptophyta; Magnoliopsida; Fagales; Juglandaceae
Exons: 2
Source: RefSeq, a predicted model, not a curated record
UUGAAUCCCCACCUUCCAUCCCUUAGCUUGUAAGACAAGCCAUUGGACUUCUUACUUCCUCUCUUCACCUAUCAGCUUCCUCAACAAGUUAUUUGGAUUCUUCUUCCUUCUCCUACACGCCGGUUCCAAGGGACAAGAAAACAAAAUCCUCCCUUACACCCAUUGACGGCUUGCAAGGCAAGACAAGUAGACUCCUUUCUCAUUCCUCUUCACCCGUCAGUCCCAAGGCACAUGAAGGAGAGAAAACUUCUCAAGUUUUCCUUCACACGAAGAACCCUUCGGUUUACCCCAAGCCUCGCGAUCACUUCUUCUCCUCAAGCCGAUUCUUCCACUUCAUAAACCUAAGAUUUCUACCGAAAAUCUUCAAGGAAAAUCAACCUCGUAAGAGAGUUUCCUAUGGCACUAAUCUCUAGAUUGAAAUCUUAGAUCUAUGGGUUAACAUAGGGUUUUUUUUUAAGAAAUUUUUCUGCUGUGUUCUAGCCUUUAAUCCUUCGGAUUUCCUCUUCCUCUUCUCGUGGUUGUGUACUUUCGUGGCUUCAAAGGGGACCCAAACAGAUCGAUAUGAAGAGCCAAGAUAAAGGGUCUAAAUUAAAACCUACUCUUCUCUUUUCCCUCUCUCUUUCCCCUUCCCCUUGCAGUUAGUGGAACCCCCCUUCUCCCCUCUCUUAUCCUUCGGCCAUUGCCCAGCAGUCGGCGACCACUGCAGUGCCGCGCCACCACUACCUCAUCGACGAACACCACUCGCCGAACCCAACCUCCCCACAAUGCCUCUCUCUCCCUCUCCUCCUCCCCCAAAACGAGCCUCCUUCCCUCUUAGCUUCUCCACAUCAUUGUCGCAACCCGCACCCAAACCACCGCCGUUCAUCGUCGACGACACUGAGAGCCCCUCGCCGGCUCCAGCCGAUCAUCCCCCAACUCCCCCACGAUCUCUCCAUUCCCCGUAACUCACUUGUCUUCAUCUGUGGGUAUGUUUUCUUCUCUUUGUUUUUUUGUUCUCUCUUUGGUGAUUUUGAGUUUGUUUUGAAUAGAAUAUUUGAAUGUUUGAGGAGUAUUUUUAUGGGUUAAAUCCUCGUGUCGUCUUCUUCAUCCAUGGGUAUGUUUUCUUCUCUCUGUUUUUUUGUUCUCUCUUUGGUGAUUUUGAGUUUGUUUUGAAGAGAAUAUUUGAAUGUUUGAGGAGUAUUUUUAUGAGUUAGAUCCUUGUGCCGUCAUCUUCAUUCGUGGAUGUGUUUUAUAAUAUCUGUUUUUUUGUUCACUCUUUGGUAUUUUGAGUUUGUUUUGCAGAGAAUUUUAAAUGUUUAAUGGGUUUUAGAGUUUGGGUGAAAGUCAAAUCUUGGGAUUAAUUUUGGAUUCGGUGGGAUAGGUUUGAAGAGGGAGUGAAAUUGUGAAAGUGAUGGGUUUUGGUGGGAGAGGUUUGAAUGACCAAAUACUUACUUCUCUUUUCAUCAAAUAAUCUUGUUUCCUUAAAACAGAUAAUUUUGUAUUCUGAUUGUUAAAUAAAGGUGUAAUAUUAGGGCACUGAGUUGUAGUAUUCUGGUUCUCUUUCGCUAACUUGUUCUCUUAGACAACAUUGGACAUUGAGUUCACAAGACUCGGAUCAUUGUUGCAAUCCCUGGUACCUUUUUCUACACAUGGUAUGCUUUGCAGUAGCAUUGGCUUGCUCACAGUAUACUAUGACUUGCUUUAUGCAUUUAGUAUAAAUAGCAUCCUUCUGAAUGAAACAUUUUUGUUGGCAGUGUCUUUAUUCAAUAAGAUGCGAAAAUACUGUUAUUGAGCUGCUUUUAUUAUAUAUUGUGUCUAUUGUUAAUACUUGGUCAAUCCAUUUUGGAAACCUCUACUUUGGAAUGUAUGCAUGGAGAAUUUGGUGUUCCUUUCAUGGUUUCUGCUUUUCUCUGUUGAAAUACAUUCUUACUCUUCAGUUUGGGUGGUGCAGAGAAUAUACUAGGAAUUCAAUGUAGCGGUUGUCUUCAAUUUAGGUGGCUACAUGAAAAUAUCUAUGAAGUUUUAUUUGGUGUGAUUAAAUCACAUGGAAGACUAUGUUAUUGAUAUGUAACUCAUAUCUUGUAAUUUUAUAUUUUGUAAUGUAAUGUAAUGUAGUUUACUGUAGGUUUCUUGUCCAUUGUUCAAGUUUUCAUUUUUCAUGUCCAUUGUUCAAGUUAUUUGUAUUCCAAUAUAUAUUUUUUUUUUGUGAUA